CACGCUAGACUCCCUGACCUCGUUCGUCGCCGCCUUCAUCCCUUCUCCUCCGCCGCCCUUCAUCCCUUCGCCGCUGCACUCGGUCUCACAUCAAAGGCGCCCCACUUGCGGGAGAGGAUGAGCUGAUCUCCAUGGCCAGAUGAGGGAGGAAUACGGGUGACGGGAUGGAUUUGGAUCUGAAGGCGGGGAGGCCAACGUAGCCGCCCCUAGCGCGUCGAGCGAAAGCGAAGGAUUUGGAUCUCAUGGAUUUGGCUGCGUCGACCAGCAGAGGACCACCGCCGGCUCGGCUCCUCCACCACGAAGCAACCUCCUUCCACCCCGUAGCCGCCGCCCAAAACCCUAGCAAUCGAGCCCCACCCAUGGCGCCCUAGGUGGUACAACGGCCAGAGGAGAGGAGAGGAGGUGGAGCAGCCAUCGGCUGGACGUGAGCAGCAUCUUGUGCAUGCAUCCAUUGAGGACGUGAGGAGAUUGGAGGAAAAAAUAUCAGAAAUCGGAAACAUGACGUUUUGGUUCAGUUCUGGAUCAUUUUCCUUUUUGGUUCAGUUUAUAUAAGUGGUUGUUGUUUUAUGUUGCUGCUAGCCAUCAGAAAACGAGUUCACAGUAGGUUUCCAUCCUUACAAUUCAUUUUGUGUUGCUCUGAACUGAAAAAAUAGAGGGGAUAUUGUUGUGCCUAGCGUGAAGUUCACAGUAGGUUUGGCAUCAAUCGAGCAAACUUUGUUACAGUUUUUAGUGGAUGUUGUAUGUAUUACAUUUUUGCUUUUUCUAAAACCACAUGUAUCCAAUAAUCUGAUUGCUUUUCUUUGUAUGAGCACCAGUUUCUGAGCUUUCCCUCCACUAUUUUUUUCCUCUCUCUCUCUUUCUCUCUCUCUCACUCAAUCUCAACUUGGCAAGCGAUGGCAGCGGUGAAUGGGCAGCGCGGGCGUCGAGCAGGAUCAUGGGGGAGCAGGGGAGGCCAGAGGCUGCUCACCAUAUACAUCGCCAUCCAUAGCCGCCCUCGUCCGCCAAGAAGUUGAGGAGGGAGGCUGACCUCCAGUGACCACUCUGCACCGCUCUGGACGACACCCUCCCCCACCAGGUUCAUCCUCCUAAUUCGUUUUAAUCAUCCCAAAUUUUUUUGUCUUACCACAGUUAAGAAAUACGAUUCAUGUUUGCUAUUGCAUUUGGAGCUCCAUCCUUACAACUUAUGGAUAAUAUGAAUACAUCAAGGUGUUUUGGUUCUCCCCAUUCUGUAUGUUCGCAAUGGAGUGUAUAUAUUGUUGAUUUAUGUCAUGGUGAUUGAAUUUGAUUGCAGAGAGAAAGUGCAAAAGCUAUGGGCAAUCCUAUAUGACUGGCGCCAUCAGUAAGGAUUUAUUUAAAGCUAGCUUACUUUUGGGUCUAAGCCAAGUUUAUUUCUUUCGCAGAUUUAUUCACCUUAUUGGGACGGUGGGGUUAAUAUAUAUACAUCAACUUUGAGCAUCAGCAACGCAUGAAGCUUGCUUCUGAGGCUGCAACAUACUUUGCAAUCCCCCUGUGAAACAUACUUUUGUCACUAUGCACAUAUGGUUAGUCGAACGAAUUGAUUUCGAUUAGACUAUCUUUUUCCUAAUUACUUGUUAUAUGAUGUUCUUUACUAUUCAGAGGUUGUUGAAGGGAGAUGGGGCUCUUCAGGCCCCUUUGGUGCAAAAGCACAAGCAACAGCAUCUACAGCUGACCACUCAUAGCCUAGGAUGUCCUGCAGAUUUGAUCUAUUUUGGAUAGAGUACAUGGAAUCAAACCACAGGAUACCCAAGCAGUGCGUACAAAUUGUAGUGGUGCUUGUAGCUUAUCAUCAAUCUGCCAUUAUUAUUUGUAUGUUGAAUGGGCGCUUUAUAUUUUAGGGCGGAAGACUGAAGCAAAGAAAACUGCGGCUCUUUAGUAUAUCUUCAGAUUUGCGGCUCUUUGAGCUGUGGUACAUUUGAUUCGAGACCCAGAUGAGGUUGGUUUUACGUUUCUUAUUGGAAGAGUGAGAUGCCCAGGACAGAAUCCAGUUUGUAUCAACGCCUCAUUGAAUAGAAUCAUGUAGAUUCUGCUUCUUCAUAAAGAAAUAGUUUUAAGGGAGGACUUCAAAGAGUAUUUUGCCAAAUUUGGUAAAGUGCGGGUAAAUUGAUUUUUGGUUGUCCUUUUUCUUUACAAUUAUUUCUCAUACUAUUACUUGCAAUGUUUGUUUACAUACUAUCCACCACCGUCUUCGCCCCAUCUUAGCUUCUCCUCAUCUCCACUCUCUCUCG
Molecule: non-coding RNA, 2246 nt
Organism: Aegilops tauschii subsp. strangulata
Lineage: Eukaryota; Viridiplantae; Streptophyta; Magnoliopsida; Poales; Poaceae
Source: RefSeq, a predicted model, not a curated record